UUGGUUUUGAGCUUGGCUCGGGCCCCAAUCACGGGUCGAACACCUAGCUUCUUGCUCAAAUCGAUAACCACAUCGAGCUCUUCCUCUUGCUCAAGAACAAUCACUGUGUUUAAGGCGAGCUUGCGAGCAAACAGAGCCAGAGAGAUGUACUCGAAGUCUUUGAAUCCAUUGCAGAUGAGAAGGGCUUCUGGGUUACCUUUGCACAAGCAGCUCAUGGCCAAGAGAAGCUCCGGCUUCGACCCAGCUUCCAAU
This 252-nucleotide long non-coding RNA is filed under the name Prunus persica (peach). RNAcentral describes it as "long non-coding RNA (PPER_LNC008261)". Lineage: Eukaryota; Viridiplantae; Streptophyta; Magnoliopsida; Rosales; Rosaceae. The record is from RNAcentral.